CUAGUUGGUGAGGUAAUGGCUCACCAAGGCGACGAUCCGUAACUGGUCUGAGAGGAUGAUCAGUCACACUGGAACUGAGACACGGUCCAGACUCCUACGGGAGGCAGCAGUGGGGAAUAUUGGACAAUGGGCGAAAGCCUGAUCCAGCCAUGCCGCGUGUGUGAAGAAGGUCUUCGGAUUGUAAAGCACUUUAAGUUGGGAGGAAGGGCAUUAACCUAAUACGUUGGUGUCUUGACGUUACCGACAGAAUAAGCACCGGCUAACUCUGUGCCAGCAGCCGCGGUAAUACAGAGGGUGCAAGCGUUAAUCGGAAUUACUGGGCGUAAAGCGCGCGUAGGUGGUUUGUUAAGUUGGAUGUGAAAUCCCCGGGCUCAACCUGGGAACUGCAUUCAAAACUGACAAGCUAGAGUAUGGUAGAGGGUGGUGGAAUUUCCUGUGUAGCGGUGAAAUGCGUAGAUAUAGGAAGGAACACCAGUGGCGAAGGCGACCACCUGGACUGAUACUGACACUGAGGUGCGAAAGCGUGGGGAGCAAACAGGAUUAGAUAUCCUGGUAGUCCACGCCGUAAACGAUGUCAACUAGCCGUUGGGAGCCUUGAGCUCUUAGUGGCGCAGCUAACGCAUUAAGUUGACCGCCUGGGGAGUACGGCCGCAAGGUUAAAACUCAAAGGAAUUGACG
Molecule: ribosomal RNA, 678 nt
Filed under: uncultured Gammaproteobacteria bacterium
Lineage: Bacteria; Pseudomonadati; Pseudomonadota; Gammaproteobacteria
Description: SSU rRNA
Rfam family: Bacterial small subunit ribosomal RNA
Source: RNAcentral